GCAUUAUAGUUCGGGAACAUAGGCAUAGAUGAGGGGCCACUAUGAGACUCUAAAGCUUCGAGUCUCUUAGUAAGGGUUGCUAAUUUGGCAUCGGUUGCCACAUUGUUUCCUAUCGAGUGCAAACCCCUAGAGCUAGAUGCCUCGAUCGACUUUUUAGGUUCCCUAGUAGACUCCCAUAACAUUGUUUUCUCGGCUAAGUCCUCGAAAAAUUCCCACCCUUGGUCCUCAUCUUU
Molecule: long non-coding RNA, 233 nt
Filed under: Daucus carota (carrot)
Lineage: Eukaryota; Viridiplantae; Streptophyta; Magnoliopsida; Apiales; Apiaceae
Description: long non-coding RNA (DCAR_LNC007613)
Source: RNAcentral